GUACUCCCUUUGGCAGUACACAUACUGAAAUUGUAAUGACAGAGAAGAUUAGCAGUCCCUGCACAAGGAUGACAUGAAAAUUCAUGAAGUGGUCCAUACUCUU
Molecule: small nuclear RNA, 103 nt
Organism: Nannospalax galili (Upper Galilee mountains blind mole rat)
Lineage: Eukaryota; Metazoa; Chordata; Mammalia; Rodentia; Spalacidae
Source: Ensembl